This 3225-nucleotide ribosomal RNA is filed under the name Triticum aestivum (bread wheat). RNAcentral describes it as "partial small subunit ribosomal RNA". Lineage: Eukaryota; Viridiplantae; Streptophyta; Magnoliopsida; Poales; Poaceae. The record is from RNAcentral.
AUGUCUUCGUCGAGCAGAGUGGGAGGAGGAGUUCAGGGUGAUUGCAGUGCUCAUAAUGAUACACCAAUUGACUCUCGUUGUCCUGGUGAGGGUAAUGUCGGUGUGAGCUUUGAUCAGAGACGUCCCGUCUUGUCUGAAACACAAUCACAGUCUGUUGAUGGUACAGAGGAAGUUACACAGGAUUGGAUGGUCUCGGAACAGCUUCGUCAAUAUGAGUUGAAGCAAAGCAAGAAGAAGUUGAGGUUUGAAAUUGUGUCAAAAGAGUUUGCGGAGAAGGAGAAGCAGAGGAGAGGUGCAGAUGGUGCCAAGGGUGCUGGAAUGAAGAAGAAUCUUGGCAAGAGAACUGUUGAAGCUGGUGGAAAUGAUGAUCCUCUGCGCAAUCGACUACAUGUCAUUGAAGGUCCCAACUCUGAUGAUAAUGACUUUGUGCUUGCUGAUUAUGUGAAGGGUGUUCACCUUUGUAGACGCAAAGACUAUGGUUCAUCUAAGAGUCUACCCAAGUGUGCCCGUGAUGAUGUCAAUGAAGAUGUUGGUGGUGACUCUGGCAAGGAGGUGGAUGCUGCUCCAAAGUUGUCACUUCCCACUGUUUGCAAGGCUGCUUCUUUGUUGAAAGAGGCACAUUGUAGUCGUGUUAGGGAUGCUGGAUUUGGUGUUGUCUUUGAUCUGACAGUAAAGAAAAAUGUGUCGCACAUUCUUAUGUGCUAUCUGAUGGGAGUGAUUGACCCUGCCACCAUGGUAAUGGACUUUGGGAAUGGUAGGGUUCUUCAAAUCAAUCGUGAUGCAGUUCAUCACAUUUUUGAUUUACCUAUGGGAUGUCACAUUGCACCCAUGCCUGCUUCUAGUGGUCAUGAUGAAUCGUUGACUGCCCUCGAGGAUGAGCUUGGCUUUGACCGUUCAAAGAGUAUAGGUGUCAAGGACUUGCUUGAGAAGUUGAAGGUGUUGGUGGAGGAAGAUGAUUAUGUGACUGUUGACCUUGUCGUGAAGGUGUUCUUCCUGAUACUUUACCAGAAUUUGUUGUGCCCCGGGCCUGCAGUUCGUUUGGGUAGAGUUGCUGCAAUGGUAGAGAACAUGGAUUAUGCGGCUAUGGCUCAAAUGGACUUUUGCCAGCUUGUUGUUGAUGAGUUGUCGGCAGCUAUGCUUCACAAAUUUUCAGUCAUGCACACGUUGACGCCACGUGCGUCAUACCUGACGACCAAUGACCUGAUGAAGUUGUACAAUGAGGAUGUGCUUGUGAAGGGAAAUAUUUACUUGGAAAGUUACAAAUUUGGGAAGCUGCCGUGGAAGGCGUCAGGUGAUAUUGUGUACAACCGUCAUGUUGUAGUUGUACACGGCAGCUCUGAUGUGGGGCCUAGCACUCAUGCUAGGUUUUAUGAGCCUAUCUGUAGCCAGCUUCCUGCCUGUGAUGAUGAGGUGCCGCAUACUCGUGGUUUCAUGGCUCGACAGAUGUUUGAUAAUAGAAGCUCUUAUAAACAGACAUUUGUUGGCGGCAAAAAACACGAGGAGAUUGAUGAGCUUCUUCUGAAGGCUGGAGUGGAAUCUUCUGGUGUCGAUGGAACUAGGGACGAUGGAGUUGGUCAGACUGGUGUUGCUGCUUGUGAUGCGCACAAAGAGACCUACGAUGGCUCUGGAAAGGAUGAGGUCUUGGCUGAUGCAUCGUCCCCUCUGGAUGUUGUAGCUGAUAAGGUUGGAGAAGAAAACGUGGAAGUUCACGUUGAUCUGAAUCAAGGCAGUUGUGAUGUUGAUGGCGGUGGCAAUGUUGAUGCUUCUGCAUCGGUUGCCGUUGACUGUGCAGAUCCUUCUGUAGCUCAAGGAUCCCAUGAUGUUCCCACUAGUCGGCAUGAAGAUUCUAAUGUUGGCAUUGAAAAGCCACUGGAGAAUGUCGGCCCUGCUGUUAGUGUUGUUGCUUCCCCUGUUUGUCUGGUGUUCAAUGAUGUUCCGGAAGUAUCGAGAGUGGAGCCUCAUGUAGCUGAAGUAUCUAAGGACAUUGUCGUUGACCAGACUGUUGUAAAUCCAGAGAAUGCUGAUGUUGCUGUAGAAGGGCCGUCCAAUGACGAACUUCCUGUUGUGACACCGUCGAGCAUUGAUCCAGCUCUUCUGAAAAGAUACAAUGAGUUGUACGCUGUUGUUACGAGGGCUUGGAAGGACAAGAAGAAGAAGGACAUGAUUGCUUUUAAAACUGAGAUGGGUGAUAUUAGCAUUGGCGAAGUUGGUUUUGAUGGGGGGCUUCAUGAAGGUUGUACGUCACUAUUUGAGUCUCAGGGUUCUGAGGUGGUUAUGGAGGAUUGUGUCAUUGAAAUCUCUCCAGAUAAUUCUGGUUCUUUGGCUGGAGAUGGUUUGAACACAAAUGUGGUGUCUGGACCUGAUGGUGGAAGUGUCUCUCGACCUAGCUCUCCACACGAUGUAUAUGAUGUUGAUGAUGAUGAUUUUGUUACGCCAUGUCCAUGUGUCACUAGGACUAGGAGUGUAGCAAUUAAUCAUCCCCCUAUGGAUGAGGUUGAAGUAUUUUCGAACAAGAGGGCGGGUGAGAGGGCUUUUAAGUUGAGAUGCUCUAUAGAGAAAUUGAAGCCUUCGAAGUUCAAAUAUAUUGAUGAGGCGAUUAAAAUAAAGGAUCUUGUUCUUAGCAAAGAUUUCGUAACCAAAUACCACGAGAACGCGUUCUUUAUGGUGAGUAGUCCUUUUGGUGAUGUCGAUACUUACAAUGUCGACUAUAUCUAUGAUACAUUUGGCAAAGGAGCUUUAAUGGAUUCGUAUCUCAUGGAUUUUGUCAUCAAGUACUGGAAGCAAGACCCUGAAUUGGGUUUAGCUUAUCAAUCCGGUGAACGUGUGCUACUUUCACCUUUAUUUAUCAUGUACGUUCUUCAAAUGGAAACCUUUGUGGCAAGAUAUAAUGACAGAAACCCUGUGUUGCCAGUUGUGCAUAGCUCAUUUGUUUUAGAUGAUGAUGUUAAGCAGUUCAAGCAUGGCCAGACGCUUGAUAUCCAUGACAGUAGGAAGUACACUGGCCAUCCUGAUGUCACGUCAAGGUGGCGCAGGACUGACUACCACACAGAUUGCACUGAAGUGCCUGCUAUUGAAGAUUGGAAGGUGGAGUACAUGUUCCAACUGUUGUUCAAUCCUUCGAACAUGUUGUAUUAUGAAGACAUGCCGCUUGAGCUACGUGAUCUGAUUGCGGACCUCGGGUUCACUUCCCGGUCGCAAUCGCAGACGCAUUCGCAGACGCAGUAA